GAUGAACGCUGGCGGCGUGCCUAAUACACGCAAGUCGAGCGAACGGACGAGAAGCUUGCUUCUCUGAUGUUAGCGGCGGACGGGUGAGUAACACGUGGAUAACCUACCUAUAAGACUGGGAUAACUUCGGGAAACCGGAGCUAAUACCGGAUAAUAUUUUGAACCGCAUGGUUCAAAAGUGAAAGACGGUCUCGCUGUCACUUAUAGAUGGAUCCGCGCUGCAUUAGCUAGUUGGUAAGGUAACGGCUUACCAAGGCAACGAUGCAUAGCCGACCUGAGAGGGUGAUCGGCCACACUGGAACUGAGACACGGUCCAGACUCCUACGGGAGGCAGCAGUAGGGAAUCUUCCGCAAUGGGCGAAAGCCUGACGGAGCAACGCCGCGUGAGUGAUGAAGGUCUUCGGAUCGUAAAACUCUGUUAUUAGGGAAGAACAUAUGUGUAAGUAACUGUGCACAUCUUGACGGUACCUAAUCAGAAAGCCACGGCUAACUACGUG
Molecule: ribosomal RNA, 497 nt
Filed under: uncultured bacterium
Lineage: Bacteria
Description: partial 16S ribosomal RNA
Rfam family: Bacterial small subunit ribosomal RNA
Source: RNAcentral